UUGUAAUUUGGAGAAGGUGCUUCGGGUGCGACGGCGUUCCAAGUCCCCUGGAACAGGGCGUCACAGAGGGUGAGAGUCCCGUCCGGAUCGUCUGUCCAGCCCGUGUGAAGCCCUUUCGACGAGUCGAGUUGUUUGGGAAUGCAGCUCAAAACGGGUGGUAAAUUUCAUCUAAAGCUAAAUAUCUGCCGGAGACCGAUAGCGCACAAGUAGAGUGAUCGAAAGAUGAAAAGCACUUUGAAAAGAGAGUCAAACAGUACGUGAAAUUGUUGAAAGGGAAGGGCUUGCAGCCAGACUCGCACGCGGGGGCUCCGCCGUCCCUCGGGGCGGUUCACUCCCCCGCGAUCGGGCCAGCAUCGGUUUCGGCGGCCGGACAAAGGCUCUGGGAACGUAGCUCUCCCCGGAGAGUGUUAUAGCCCGGGGCGCAAUGCGGCCAGCCGGGACCGAGGACCGCGCUUCGGCUUGGAUGCUGGCGUAAUGGCUGCCAGCCGCCCGUCUUGAAACACGGACCGGUGAGUUUCCAUCCACAGUUAUAUGCUCCCGCUUGUACUAACGAUGAUGCAGAGGAGUCGACCAAUCAUGCGAGUCUGUGGGUGUCAAACCCCCGGGCGCAAUGAAAGUGAACGCAGGUGGGAGCCUUCGGGUGCACCAUCGACCGAUCUUGAUGUCUUCGGAUGGAUUUGAGUACGAGCACGGUUGGUCGGACCCGAAAGAUGGUGAACUAUGCGCGGAUAGGUUCGUUGAAUGCUUAUUUAAUUGUCAAUGGACAUCAAACUAACUAUGAAAUAGGGUGAAGCCAGAGGAAACUCUGGUGGAGGCUCGCAGCGGUUCUGACGUGCAAAUCGAUCGUCAAAUCUACGCAUAGGGGCGAAAGGUAAUCCUUCCGACGAUCUGACGCCAAGAAUGAUGCGCUAACCCUUUACAGACUAAUCGAAUCAUCUAGGUACGCCCGAUGUGCUAC
Molecule: ribosomal RNA, 958 nt
Filed under: Glyphis cicatricosa
Lineage: Eukaryota; Fungi; Ascomycota; Lecanoromycetes; Ostropales; Graphidaceae
Description: eukaryotic LSU rRNA
Rfam family: Eukaryotic large subunit ribosomal RNA
Source: RNAcentral